RNAcentral lists this long non-coding RNA (6450 nucleotides) under Homo sapiens (human). RNAcentral's name for it is "HSALNT0030123". The record is from RNAcentral. Lineage: Eukaryota; Metazoa; Chordata; Mammalia; Primates; Hominidae.
AAGAAAUUUUUAAUCUGCCACUUAAGAGACACUAAUGUACAAAUUGGCAAAAAAGAAAAUAAAAACCUGUCACCUUUCCCACACAUUAUCUAAAUGUGCUAAAGCAAAUGCAUUUCAGAUACCCUGCCCUGCUGUGCAUGAACACAUAAUAGGAUAGGACGUCAUCAGUGACUGAGCGUAUCUCCUAAUUGGUGUCAUCAGCUAUUUCUAGGACAGCCAAAUAGUGUCAGAGAUAAAGAAAUAUAAAUUAUCUGUGAAAACAAAGAGGUACGACAUGUAAAAAUUGGAUGUAGUACCUCCUGAUCCAAAACAAAAAAAUGGAUCUUAGGCUACCCAAAUAUUUUUAAAUGAUAUAAAAUGUUAUUUUAGGUCAAUAGCUUUCUAUAGUCAGAAUGUGGACAUACGGGGAUGAAUUAUGCCUGGCACCCCCAGUUAUCUCAUCCAAUGCUGCAGCUGUCACAAACCACAGGACACUUGAUCCAUAGGCCAGUAAAGAAUCAAGUUCUAACCACAGACACUCAAGAGCGCACAACAAGGCAUCUAAAAGAAUUUCCACUUGUGCCAUUCUGGGCAUCUUGAUGUCCUUAGCAUACUGUAACCUGAUUAUCCAGACAAGAUUGAGAAUGAAAGCAAGUAAUCCUGGACUGACUCUCCUGUAUCACAUAUGUAGCCCUCUAUUUGAAGUAAUGCUAACUCCUGCAAACCUGAGUUUAGCUCCAGAAAUCCAACCCAGGAGAGAAAGGACGUGAAUUGCCCUUCGAUGCACGUAUUAUUCCAUUCUCACACUGCUAUAAAGAACUGCCCGAGACUGGGAAAUUUUAUAAAGGAAAGAAGUUUAAUUGACUCACCGUUCAGCAUGGCUGGGGAGCCUUCAGGAAACUUACAAUCAUGGUAGAAAGCGAAGAGAAAGCAAGACACCUUCUUCACAAGGUGGCAAGAAGGAGAAGUGCCUAGCAAAGGAGGAAGAGUCCCUUACAAAACCAUCAGAUCUCGUAAGAACUCACUCACCAUCACGAGAACCGCAUGGGGAAAACCACCCGCAUGAUUCAGUUACCUUCACCUGGUCUCUCCCUUGACACAUGGGGCUUAUGGGGAUUACAAUUCAAGAUGAGAUUUGGGUGAGGACACAAAGCCUAACCAUAUCAACCCAUAAUGAGAAAAGUUCAUCAGAGCAAACACAUCAAAACCCAAGUUGGGGGAUAUUUAAUUUGCCAUGUACCAUUAGGGCAGUAGGCACAGUUUCAGCCCUAAUCAAAGGCCAGGAUUUUACUAAAAUCCAAGCAUUCCUGGAACCACACAGUCAAAAGGAAGGGGAAUUAAGAGACUGUGUUAAGACAGAGGCCUCCAGCAAAUGCAGUCAGUGCAUAUUAGAAGGCACCUGAAAGAUACUACUUGUUUAAGAAAUCAGGCUUAAGCAGAGGUAGUCAUAAACCGCAAACAUCUGUUCCAUGGCUCAUAACCUUGCACAUCUUAGGGGAAAGCACAGUGUUACCACUGCUGGCAGCAUAAGCCUGCUGAUAAGGAAUGUCUGGAUGUUUUUCAGGCAAAUACACUAUUCUCUGAGUGAUUUGGAAACUUUUUGUAGGGAAUUCGUAAAAUGGGUUUUUCCAAAAUCCUAGAAUAGGAAGGAUUAUUGAGUCGAUAUUCACAGCCCUUAUUGUUUUGCUUGGAAUGUUUAAAUGCUUUAGAACUUACUCCCUCUGUGUAAUUCUUGUCUAUCACAAUUGGGCCAUUUGCUGAACCCUGUGAACUCCUGGCAGGCAGAUCCUGUGUUUCUCUAAGGCAGCUCCUCCCUUCUCCCUUCCUCUUGGUAGCUUCUGUCCUGCCCUGGCUCCUUCUGCCCAGUAGACCCUUUCUUAUGUCUGCAUGUCAGCUCACAUGAACUUCCUGAAGUCCCAAUCAAUAUCCCUGGGUACACAGAUUGCCAAGGCAACCUCUGCUCAAUUCAAAGUCACCCAGAAUACUCUCAGUCUAGCAAGUGAAAGGGGAAGAUGUGGCUGGCUUAGAACAAAAAUAACAGAGAGGCUGGUACCACCAAGCCUCUCUAUGAAGCCAAAAAUCCUAUAAAAAAAGGAAAAGAUGACGUGGAUGCUGUGACUGCAAAGAAGAAGGCAAGGCCUGAGAGAUGCAAGGGAAAAGUGGGCAACCAACAGCAAGGAACAGGAGCAGGAAAGAGAGAGGCUGUCACAGGCUGAGAGAGGGCAAGGCCCACAUUUCCACCCACUUCCUCCUCCAAAACCCCGGCAGCAUCUCACCAGCAAAACCUCUGCCAGCUCCACACUCUAGCAGCCAGCCACACCCAGGCCACCAACCCUUUGCCACUAGUCGCAAGAGGAUGUUAGCUGAAGCCUCCUCUGAUUUAAAUGCCAGGCCACUGGCAUGUGACUCCAAGAUGUGUAACUCGUAGUAGGACUGUCAACUUGGGUCAUUUAAAAGGUGACCCCACUCAGGGGUACGUUCUGGAAAUAGUAUAGUGACCUCAGCCGAAAAGGCUAGAAGCUGUAGUUAGUGGGACCCAGCAAAAGAACCUCUUAAGGACCCAUAGCCAGAGGAGACCAGCACCAGACCAUCCAGCAAGAACUUUCCCUAUCUCUUCUUGUUCCCCUGCCUCAGCCCUGGGUCAUCCAAGACAACCUAGUAAGUAAAGGAGAAUGGUAAACAUGCUCCGUAGAAAUACAGAAAGUAGGUAUGCCUCCCCUCCCUGACUUCAUACAAGUUUCUAGGAGAAAGCCAGCCUGCAUGGAGGAUAACAGGGUUUCUACUCUAAAUGUGACUAUUACAUGGGCCUGGACAUUUUAAUUUCAAAUAAGAUAUAUAUUUUUUGUGGCUAGAUGUAACUAGAGGACUUUUCCAUUAUUGUCUAAGAAUAACCAAAACGAGGAUGUCUUUGUGAGAUUUCAUUCAAAGGCAAGAGUCAGCAGAAAGGAGCCAAGAUGGCAUUCGCUGGAGCAGUGAUGAGAAAAACAUGACUUCAUGAUCAUACCAGAUUAAACUCUAUUUGUUCAAUAUAUCAGUUAGAUGUUCAUUGGCCCAGGCACUCUCUGAAUCAGAUCUGGCCGGGGAGAGAGGACAUGGAGAGGCAGCUCAAGCUGGAAGAUCAUGUUGGUGAAGUUUGGUGACUUCUGUGACUGCUGGGGUAGGGUGACCCUUUCCUUGUCUGCUCCACUUCUGUCCCUUCAUUUCUCCAAGAUCUCUUGCCUGCUGAUGUUAACCAGCUUUUAUGACCCUAAAUAUUGUUAACCACCCACAGGGCCUGAGAUCAGAUUGUCUUAAGAUUUUUCAAACUAGGAGAGCCCUUUCUUCAGAAGAAAUUGUUGGAAUUUUAAAAGACCAAUACAAAGCAUUCCUGCCUUACUGGCCUAUGUUCAGAACCAAUAGAAAGAAGUGGAGAUCAAAACGUCAGUAUCAUUACUGGUAAAGCUACUGGAGACUGUGACUUAGAUGUGAGGACCAAAUGAGCAUGCCAGCAUUACAUCCCCAAAUUAAGCGUAUCCACAGCAGUGCUGGACAGCUAGAAGUCUCCUAUGAAGGAGUCCUCUCAGGGAAAACUACAGUACAAAGGAAUCAAACAGACCAGAAUACAUGGCCUCUGAGGCAGGCUGUUCCCAAAGCUCGAGGGCAGAGGAGGAGACUGAGCCCACAUUCUCAAGCGUCGCUCCCAAGUUCCCCAAUCAGGGAAGCCACUCCUCCUCUGGAGAGGAGGGAAUGAGGGGACAGAAAUGUAAAAACUGCCAAGUUCCCCUUACAGGGAAACAAGAGGAAUAGUGACUUAGUGUGUACUUGUUGCUGUCACAUGUCUUACUAUUAAGCAGAUCAUUGCUGUACUUCUCUGGUUGGAGAGGAGGAGGAAAGUGAUGGCGCAUGUGCUCUGUGCCGCUUACCCUAUGGUGCAUCCUUAGCCAGCUCAGGAGACUUGCUUUAAGCAUCUUUGGAAAACACUGUCUUGGGUCUCCUGGCAACAGCACUGUGCAUGGACUCAGAACAUGCUGCAGCUGUGACUCAUUGAUACUCUGGUAGAUUUCAUUUCCGUGGCUUGACAUCCAGCUCCCUGAGUGUCAUGGGUGCCCACUGCUGCCUCUAGCCCAGCAUCUCGCUGCCCCAUCAACUCCCAUCCACAGCCUGGCCCAGCACAAUCAGUAGGCAUCUUUGUGCCUAGGAGCUGCACCCUGCCUGUUACCCAGGCCUCCCUGGGGGAAACCAGUGAGGGAAAGGGUGAAGCAAGUCGGCUCCCUCUGCCUCAGCUUCAUUCAGAAGCAAGAUUCACCUGCCGAGCUCUGACCUCCCCCAGGUCAUAAUUGAACUGUAGGACUUCUUUGGUAUCUAAAACCAGCGAGUUGUGCCUUGCUUUGAACUGGCUCCAUAUAUAGCAAUUCAUCUACUUGCUUGGUCAGAAGAACGAUUCCUAAAAGAGGCCAAAAAUAAAUGACAAUGAUGUUUACUGACUGGGGAGGAAGACUUGAAGGCGGAGCUGUGUGCAUUCCUAUUCUUGGAUAUUUACUUCCAGGUCCCUUUAAACCAGUAAUUUUUAACUUUGGGUCUGGGGGUGGGGCAAGAGAAGGGUCAUAAAUUCUUUGCAUAAACUAAUGAAAGUUAGAGAUGCUCUCUCUCCAAAAGUGCACACACACACACACACACAAACACUAUGUGUAUAUAUAUGUGUAGUAUGUAUACACAUAUAUAAUAUUUAAUAUAUAUGUUACAUAUAAAGUAUAUAUAUGUGUGUGUGUGUGUGUGCAUAUAUGUGUGUAUAUAUACAUAUAAAUUAUAUAUAUAAAUUAGAGACUCCCUUGAGGUAUGUACAUACAGACACACACACACACACACACACACACACACACACACGCCAGAAUAAGAACCCCUGCUUUGAAUCAUGCAGAGUUUUAGAACUAUAUGGGGCAUUAAAUAUAGUGUGGUACAAAACAGGGAUUUCAAUUGAACUAAAAAAAAUAUUUUUCUUUUCAUAAAUUGAUAUCCUAUACUCUUUUAAAGGUUUAAAUAAAGAUAAUAAAUAAAGACAACGGAAACCACAUACAAGAUAGGGAGAAUUAAUUGUAUCCGCAACAAGGUUGUUACUGUAAGUAGACUCUUACAUUUAAGUCUGAGCUUCUGGGCAGCCAAGAUAAACAGAGAAACAUCAAGUAAAGCAACCAAUUAUUAAGAACUAUGUGUUAAGCUUUUAAAGAACAUGGUCCUUAAGGAGGAAAGAGUGAUUUUUAUUAAAAUAUUCAGAGGCUGAAGGCCAGGGCAAGGAUACGUGAUGGGCUGUGUGUUCCAUGCUAUAAAUGGAGGUUAGGUUCUACAGGCGGCACUUAGGAUUUGCGAUAUAGAAAUACAUAACAUUGCUAAUAGGGAAACACAAAUAAGAUUCAGGAAAAACAUUACAAAUGAUCUCUGGGGAAAAUCCAGUUUGUCAGGUGAGGGGCUGCCAUCACGAGUCCUUGUUUCAAUAGAUUAAUUGGGUGCAUCCAGGAAGAGUCCCAGUCCUCAAGGGAGCCUUCUGGAAGACAACUGAAUGCUCUUGGUCAAGUUUUGUCUUGUUGAGGAGGAUUUCUUAAGAGUACAAAGAUAUCACAGCUAAAAUGCACUCUCAACUCUUUAGAAGAAUCAGUGCUGCUGGUUCUGGAGCCACAUCUUGAGAAUAAGCUGCUGGAUUUACAUUUCCCUCAGGACCCUAAAACAUCCAGUUUCAUUCCAGCUGAUCUCUCACAUUCUUCAAGGGAAUCCCUGGGAAUGUACUUUCAAGAAACAAGGCUCCGUCUGCUAACACUGGGAUUCAGCUGCUGCUGAGAAGAGACUAUUUCCCGCCACCUUCUCUGAAAGCCACUGAAACACAGCGGGCCUGCUUGUUCCUUAGCCACCUCCACAUUUCCACCACGAGUAAACAUGUAAGAAAUUACAAAUAGGAGACAAGCCCUACAGACUGUGAAAUUACCUACAGUUGUUCACAUUUUUCCCCAUAAAAUAGUAUCCUUCCAGAAAUUUGCCUGCAGAGAGGAUAGUCUUUCUAGCAGUAAUUCCUACCUGCGAGGGUUGCUGGUCCAUUGGCAUAACAGGACUUCAGGGUACCAGCCAGGAGAUCACAAGAAAGAUGCUUCUUCAAGUGUCUGCUGCAGUACAAAAUAACACCUACUGAAUAUCAUCCAAGACGCACAUCUCUUUAGAACGAGAGCACAUCAACAUGUUUAUUUAACAAGCACUAUGUAGUGUUUCCCAUAUACCAGGCCCUGUUCACAUGUCACUCUUUUGCCCCUUUUAACAACCUUCUGUGGAGACAACCAUUAUUAUCCCCAUUUGACAGAAGGAGACAUUGAGGCCCAGAAAAGGUUAGUAGCCCAUGUUACUCUGCAAGUAACAGAGGCAAGAUUUGAACCCAGGCAGUCUAGUUCCAGGGACAUGUUCUUAUUCACUAUCCUAGUGGUUAUGUAACUUCAGCCUGUAUCAGAAUCCCCU